This 819-nucleotide ribosomal RNA is filed under the name uncultured Actinomycetes bacterium. RNAcentral's name for it is "bacterial SSU rRNA". It matches the Rfam family "Bacterial small subunit ribosomal RNA", at positions 335 to 1167 of the family's 1533-position model. Lineage: Bacteria; Bacillati; Actinomycetota; Actinomycetes. The record is from RNAcentral.
ACUCCUACGGGAGGCAGCAGUGGGGAAUAUUGCACAAUGGGCGCAAGCCUGAUGCAGCAACGCCGCGUGAGGGACGACGGCCUUCGGGUUGUAAACCUCUUUUAGUAGGGAAGAAGCGAAAGUGACGGUACCUGCAGAAAAAGCACCGGCUAACUACGUGCCAGCAGCCGCGGUAAUACGUAGGGUGCAAGCGUUAUCCGGAAUUAUUGGGCGUAAAGAGCUCGUAGGCGGUUUGUCGCGUCUGCUGUGAAAACUGGAGGCUCAACCUCCAGCCUGCAGUGGGUACGGGCGGACUAGAGUGCGGUAGGGGAGAUUGGAAUUCCUGGUGUAGCGGUGGAAUGCGCAGAUAUCAGGAGGAACACCGAUGGCGAAGGCAGAUCUCUGGGCCGUAACUGACGCUGAGGAGCGAAAGCAUGGGGAGCGAACAGGAUUAGAUACCCUGGUAGUCCAUGCCGUAAACGUUGGGAACUAGAUGUAGGGUCCAUUCCACGGAUUCUGUGUCGCAGCUAACGCAUUAAGUUCCCCGCCUGGGGAGUACGGCCGCAAGGCUAAAACUCAAAGGAAUUGACGGGGGCCCGCACAAGCGGCGGAGCAUGCGGAUUAAUUCGAUGCAACGCGAAGAACCUUACCAAGGCUUGACAUAUACCGGAAAAGUUCAGAAAUGUUCUCCCCGCAAGGUCGGUAUACAGGUGGUGCAUGGUUGUCGUCAGCUCGUGUCGUGAGAUGUUGGGUUAAGUCCCGCAACGAGCGCAACCCUCGUUCUAUGUUGCCAGCACGUAAUGGUGGGAACUCAUAGGAGACUGCCGGGGUCAACUCGGA